RNAcentral lists this unclassified non-coding RNA (348 nucleotides) under soil metagenome. Its description in RNAcentral is "partial contains 5.8S ribosomal RNA, internal transcribed spacer 2, and large subunit ribosomal RNA". The stretch from base 1 to 120 matches the Rfam family "5.8S ribosomal RNA", at positions 35 to 154 of the family's 154-position model. The record is from RNAcentral.
GAUGAAGAACGUAGCGAAAUGCGAUAAGUAAUGUGAAUUGCAGAAUUCCGUGAAUCAUCGAAUCUUUGAACGCACAUUGCGCCCCCUGGUAUUCCGGGGGGCAUGCCUGUCCGAGCGUCAUUGCUGCCCUCAAGCACGGCUUGUGUGUUGGGCCCCGCCCCCCGGCUCCCGGGGGGCGGGCCCGAAAGGCAGCGGCGGCACCGCGUCCGGUCCUCGAGCGUAUGGGGCUUCGUCACCCGCUCCGUAGGCCCGGCCGGCGCCCGCCGGCGACCCCCCUCAAUCUUUUCAGGUUGACCUCGGAUCAGGUAGGGAUACCCGCUGAACUUAAGCAUAUCAAUAAGCGGAGGA